RNAcentral lists this ribosomal RNA (421 nucleotides) under uncultured Butyricicoccus sp. Its description in RNAcentral is "bacterial SSU rRNA". It matches the Rfam family "Bacterial small subunit ribosomal RNA", at positions 355 to 792 of the family's 1533-position model. The record is from RNAcentral. Lineage: Bacteria; Bacillati; Bacillota; Clostridia; Eubacteriales; Butyricicoccaceae.
UGGGGAAUAUUGCGCAAUGGGGGAAACCCUGACGCAGCAACGCCGCGUGAUUGAAGAAGGUCUUCGGAUUGUAAAAAUCUUUUAUCAAGGACGAAGAAGUGACGGUACUUGAUGAAUAAGCUCCGGCUAACUACGUGCCAGCAGCCGCGGUAAUACGUAGGGAGCAAGCGUUAUCCGGAUUUACUGGGUGUAAGGGCGUGUAGGCGGAGAAGCAAGUCAGAAGUGAAAUCCAUGGGCUUAACCCAUGAACUGCUUUUGAAACUGUUUCCCUUGAGUAUCGGAGAGGCAGGCGGAAUUCCUAGUGUAGCGGUGAAAUGCGUAGAUAUUGGGAGGAACACCAGUGGCGAAGGCGGCCUGCUGGACGACAACUGACGCUGAGGCGCGAAAGCGUGGGGAGCAAACAGGAUUAGAUACCCUGGUA